RNAcentral lists this ribosomal RNA (254 nucleotides) under uncultured bacterium. Its description in RNAcentral is "partial 16S ribosomal RNA". It matches the Rfam family "Bacterial small subunit ribosomal RNA", at positions 524 to 776 of the family's 1533-position model. The record is from RNAcentral.
UACGUAGGGGGCAAGCGUUGUCCGGAUUUAUUGGGCGUAAAGAGCUCGUAGGCGGUUCCGUAAGUCGUGAAGUCAAAUCUCUGGGCCCAACCCAGAAUCGCUUCCGAUACUGCGGUGACUGGAGUCCGGUAGGGGAGUGUGGAAUUCCUGGUGUAGCGGUGAAAUGCGCAGAUAUCAGGAGGAACACCAACAGCGAAGGCAGCACUCUGGGCCGGUACUGACGCUGAGGAGCGAAAGCAUGGGGAGCGAACAGG